GUGCAGUGCUAAUGGCAGUACAUUUUGGGUUAGGGUAAUGGAUGUCUGACCAAAGAAAUUAUUGUUGUACUAAUGUCAGUACUAAUGGCGGUUUGUGUGCAGUGCUAAUGGAAGUACGAUGGAUGAUAGACUACACAAAUUAUUGUUGUGUGUGUGAUGGAUGAUACCACUUGCUUUUCAUAACAUAAAAGAUAUACAUUCAAUUUUAGGAUUGACGAGGCCAUGUCCGCCUCGGCUUUCUGGGAUCUUGAACAAUGGAAUGACGAUACACACUGAAAUGGCAUACAGAAAUCUGAAUGCUCACACUUGCUACUUGCUAGAGCUGAUACUAGGCUUAUUUUCAUUAUGCCACUUGCUACUUGUAGUUGUCAUGGGUGCCCGUUGAAAUAAGUUGUUUUUGUUAACAUGAUAUUGGUUAAUUAAUUUUACAGACCUCUUAUUGGAAUUGGGGCUGCAACUAAAGUAGCAAACACGACUACGUUAGAAGGGUGAGAAUUAGUGGGAGCAGGGUAUGGAUGAGGAAGGAGCACCAGUAUCUUCAAUGUUGCUGCUGUUUCGUUUCCAUCCCUCUCACGUGUGAAGGUCAACCUCCUGGGAUACACGAAGUUUCAGUUCGUCGAGAGGCUUCCCGGAGCUUCAAAACAUUUCACUUCAACUUUUUAGGCUUUUUCAGUACAUCUUACAAAGUGUGUAAGCUCCCUGGAGUAGCGCCUUCGAGGCUUGCCCUGCUCCAGCAGUCGUCAUCGUGAGGAUUAGCCACCGUCUAUUUGGCGCGGGACCUACCUGCGAUGGUCCCAUCUAUUGUGAGGUACAUCCUUUUUGAAUCUCUCCUCUCCGGCUCCGCAUGGUGAAGAUCUCCGUGUCUACCAUUUGUACUGUCAAUUUAUUUUGAAUUGAACUGGUGUUGCACUUGAUUCAGAUCUGAGG
Triticum aestivum (bread wheat) is the source of this 927-nucleotide long non-coding RNA. RefSeq lists it as uncharacterized. NCBI's taxonomy places the organism in Eukaryota, Viridiplantae, Streptophyta, Magnoliopsida, Poales, Poaceae. The record is from RefSeq and is a predicted model, not a curated record. The transcript has 2 exons.